UACGUAGGUGGCAAGCGUUGUCCGGAUUUAUUGGGUUUAAAGGGUGCGUAGGCGGUCUAUUAAGUCAGUGCUGAAAUAUCCCGGCUUAACCGGGAGGGUGGCAUUGAUACUGAUGGACUUGAGUAAAGUUGAGGUUGGCGGAAUUGACGGUGUAGCGGUGAAAUGCUUAGAUAUCGUCAAGAACACCUAUUGCGAAGGCAGCUAACUAAGCUUAAACUGACGCUGAGGCACGAAAGUGUGGGGAUCAAACAGG
Molecule: ribosomal RNA, 253 nt
Filed under: Ohtaekwangia sp.
Lineage: Bacteria; Pseudomonadati; Bacteroidota; Cytophagia; Cytophagales; Fulvivirgaceae
Also listed under: 1 other name
Description: partial 16S ribosomal RNA
Rfam family: Bacterial small subunit ribosomal RNA
Source: RNAcentral